Molecule: non-coding RNA, 373 nt
Organism: Macaca mulatta (Rhesus monkey)
Lineage: Eukaryota; Metazoa; Chordata; Mammalia; Primates; Cercopithecidae
Source: RefSeq, a predicted model, not a curated record
UCCAAGUAGCCUGGACUACAGGUGUGCACCACUAUGCCUGUAUAUUCCGUGGAGAUAAAUCUAGGAAACUCCGAUAUGACUUCCAGGCUGCCAUACUCAAGACCUCCAGCCCCUUUGCCACUUGGACCAGUGAAGAGCCUCACAGCCUGCUCUAACCACAGCUCCCUUCUGAGAGGAAAAGCUGCUCACAGAAAACAUCUCUUUGAAGCUGGCACUACUGAUGAAAACUAAAGCAAUGGAUGGAGAAAAGAGGAGGAAUAAAGACAAUUUGGGCUGAUGUUCUUCAGAAAAGGAAAGGGUGGUCACCUUGUCAAUGGAUUUGUUGAGCACCCAUUAUGUGUGGGAAUGGAUGAUUAAAAGCUACAGAAAUCUC